RNAcentral lists this ribosomal RNA (468 nucleotides) under uncultured bacterium. RNAcentral's name for it is "partial 16S ribosomal RNA". It matches the Rfam family "Bacterial small subunit ribosomal RNA", at positions 28 to 507 of the family's 1533-position model. The record is from RNAcentral.
GACGAACGCUGGCGGCGUGCUUAACACAUGCAAGUCGAACGGAAAGGCCCUGCUUUUGUGGGGUGCUCGAGUGGCGAACGGGUGAGUAACACGUGAGUAACCUGCCCUUGACUUUGGGAUAACUUCAGGAAACUGGGGCUAAUACCGGAUAGGAGCUCCUGCUGCAUGGUGGGGGUUGGAAAGUUUCGGCGGUUGGGGAUGGACUCGCGGCUUAUCAGCUUGUUGGUGGGGUAGUGGCGUACCAAGGCUUUGACGGGUAGCCGGCCUGAGAGGGUGGCCGGGACACUUGGGAAUGAGAACAGGCCACGGCCCGUGGGGGGGGAGAAAGGGGGGAAAUUUGCAAAAGGGGGGGAAGCCUGAGGCCAAAACGGCGGGGGGGGGGAGGGGGCCUGCGGGUUGGAAACCAGUUUCCCCGGGGGAGAAGGGUGAGUGGAGGAAAGGAGAAAAGAAGCACCGGCUAACUUCGUG